UNGGCUUUUAAGUCAGUGGGGAAAAUUCUGGGGCUCACCUGCAGGACUGGCAUUGAAACUGAAGGUCUUGAAUUGUUGAGUAGUAGCUGUAAUAUUUGAUGUAGCAGUGAAAUGCAUAGAUAUCACAUAGAACGCCGGUUGUGAAGGCAGGCUACUAACAAUAUAUUGACAGGAGGGGGGAAAGCGUGGGGAGCGAACAGGAUUAGAUACCCUGGUAGUCCACGCCGUAAACGAUGGUUACUAGUUGUCCGGCCCGAUUGACGGCUGGGUGGCCAAGCGAAAGUGAUAAGUAACCCACUUGGGGAGUACGUUCUCAAGAAUGAAACUCAAAGGAAUUGAAGGGGGCCCGCACAAUCGGUGGAUUAUGAGGUUUAAUUAGAUGAUACGCGAGGAACCUUACCAGGGGUUAAAUGCAGUGGACAGGGGUGGAAACACCCUUUUCUUAGGACAGAUUGCAAGAUGCUGCAUUGUUGUUGUCAGCUCGUGCCGUGAGGUGUCAGGUUAAGUCAUAUAACGAGCGCAUCCCCUGUGGUUAGUUGCCAGCGAGUAAUGUCGGGAACUCUAGCCAGACUGCCGGUACAAACCGUGAGGAAGGUGGGGAUGACGUCAAAUCAUCACGGCCCUUACGUCCUGGGCCACACACGUGCUACAAUGGUAGGGACAGAGAGCAGCCAUUUCGCAAGAAGGAAUGAAUCUAUAAACCCUAUCACAGUUCGGAUCGGGGUCUGCAACUGAACCCCGUGAUUCUGGAAUUGCUAGUAAUCGUAUAUCAGCCAUGAGGCGGCGAAAAAGUUUGAUCCCGGCUCAGUAAGUCCAACAAGGUAACCACUAGAGUUUGAUCCUGGCUCAGUAAGUCGUAACAAGGUAACCACUAGAGUU
This 879-nucleotide ribosomal RNA is filed under the name bacterium 22F07-Zb2-8. RNAcentral describes it as "bacterial SSU rRNA". It matches the Rfam family "Bacterial small subunit ribosomal RNA", at positions 576 to 1510 of the family's 1533-position model. The record is from RNAcentral.